UCUGAUUUAACAUAUAAAUUAAUGUGAGGGAUUGUAAAUCCCUUAAAAGGAUUGGCUA
RNAcentral lists this transfer RNA (58 nucleotides) under Rhinebothrium sp. 3 DJM-2021. Its description in RNAcentral is "tRNA-Tyr". Lineage: Eukaryota; Metazoa; Platyhelminthes; Cestoda; Rhinebothriidea; Rhinebothriidae. The record is from RNAcentral.